AUGAUCUUGUCUGCUUCCACCUACAACACAGACUUUCUGGCAAAGGCUCUGGCCCUGUUGGGAAAACCCGAAGUUUGCCAAAGACUGAGUGGAUGGAGUGUCACUCUUUUUGCCCAUGCUGGAGUGCAAUGGCACAAUCUUGGCUCAUUGCAAGCGCCACCUCCUGGGUUCAAGCAAUUCUCCUGCCUUAGCCUCCCAAGUUGAUGGGAUUACAGUGAGAGCUUCCUGAGGCAUUCCCAGAAACCGAGCAGAUGCUGGC
Molecule: long non-coding RNA, 259 nt
Filed under: Callithrix jacchus (white-tufted-ear marmoset)
Lineage: Eukaryota; Metazoa; Chordata; Mammalia; Primates; Cebidae
Description: lncRNA (ENSCJAG00000078820.1)
Source: RNAcentral